AGGAUUAGAUACCCUUGUAGUCCACGCCGUAAACGAUGUCUACUAGCCGUUGGGACUCUUGAAGUCUUAGUGGCGCAGCUAACGCACUAAGUAGACCGCCUGGGGAGUACGGCCGCAAGGUUAAAACUCAAAUGAAUUGACGGGGGCCCGCACAAGCGGUGGAGCAUGUGGUUUAAUUCGACGCAACGCGAAGAACCUUACCUGGCCUUGACAUGCAGAGAACUUUCCAGAGAUGGAUUGGUG
RNAcentral lists this ribosomal RNA (243 nucleotides) under uncultured bacterium. Its description in RNAcentral is "partial 16S ribosomal RNA". It matches the Rfam family "Bacterial small subunit ribosomal RNA", at positions 774 to 1016 of the family's 1533-position model. The record is from RNAcentral.